AUUUACUUUUAUAUCUGCUUCCUUGAGUCUUAACCUUCAAAUUUACAUUUGCUUACUUGCUUAAAGUGGAGAUGGAUUGUCUGAUUAAUUGUUUAUGAUCUAACGAAUACUGGUUUUCAGAUGGUCCUCUUGGACUCUUUCUAUCAUUCUUUUCUCUAUUUCUCUACACAGGUAGCAUACUGAGUUAGAGUUGAAAGUGACUUCAGCAAGACACAUAACGCUGCUGCAUGAUAAUCUUGCUGCUAAAAGUACACAACUCUAUAUGAGACCACAUAAUUUGAAUGUCAUCUGAUCUGAAAUUGAGACGCUUGAUUAAAUCCAUAUGUUGGAAUGCUAGAAUAUAGACAAAAGGGUUUUAGCUUAUACAACAACUCUAGUUGAUUAAUUUCUACUUAGUGGCUGACUGGAGUGCUCUAUUGAAAAGAAUUCUGAAACCAAGUCCAUAUGCAGCAGGAAAAGGGUGUCAAAAUCUAUUAAUAAUAUCUUUUUAUUUUGAACUCUUGGUAUGUGUUCAAAUUUUCUUGUCUCUAUUUUGUUUCUCAGAUUUUCCAGCAAAUAACAUUGUGAAGUUCCUGGUAAGUUUUACAAACAAGGGUACAGAAGAUUGCAUUGUCAAAUCUUUAGAUGCCUCAUUCCAUUAUCCUCAGGACUACCAGUUUUAUAUCCAGAAUUUCACGGCUCUUCCUCUGAACACUGUAGUGCCACCCCAGAGACAAGCAACUUUUGAGUACUCCUUCAUUCUUGCGGAGCCUAUGGGUGGACGACCCUUUGGUCUGGUCAUCAAUCUGAACUACAAAGAUUUGAAUAUAAGGCAAUGUAUUCCAAGAUGCAGUCUUCAAUCAAACAGUUACAGUCUUCAAUCAAACAGUUACAGCACAAGAGACCCAUAUAGAAAGUAGAAAUGGGUACGUCAAGUCAGAAUGACAUGAGUUGGAUUCCUCAGGAAACUUUGAAUCAGAUCAGAUAAGAAGCUGUGUAUUUAAUGAUGAGGAAAUUGCUCCUAAGAAGAAACUUGCCAAGACUCACAACAAGGGUGAAGUCUUAACCCUCAAUGACUAUGCCGUAUUUGGAGAUAAGUCUUUUAAAGAGGUCAUUAAUAUUAAAUCAGAAAAUAAGGGUGAGGGCCCUAAUCCAAUGACUGGUGUCCCAAUAAAUGGAGAUUAGGACAUAGACACAAAGACCACAUGAAGACCCAGGGAGUGGACCACCACCUAAGGGCCCUAAUCCAGUAACUGGUGUCCUCAUAAGAAGAGAUUGGGACACACACAGAGGAAAGACCACAAGAGGACACACGGAGACUACCACCAUCUACAAGCCAACAAGAGAGGCUUCAGAAGAAAAAUCAAUCCUUCUGAUACCUCAGUCUUAGACUUCUAGCCUUCAGAAUUGUAAAAAAAAUACAUUUCUGUUAAGACACCCACCUGUGGUAUUUUGUUAUGGCAGCCCUAGAAAUAGCGCCCUAGUUUCUCUCUCAAGUCUGGUCAGAUCUUCCCUCCUCUCCCCAAAUCCCAGUCCCAUUCUAGUCAAAAUAUGAGGUUACCCCAUUAUUUUAGUUCUCUCAACAAAAAAAGUAUUUGGAUUACUUCUUUACAGAGCUAUUAGUUAUUGAUCAUUCCAACCAAAAUAAGAUGUUCUUUUUACCUAGGACACUUCAUGUUUUAUUCCAUAAUGUUUUCUGAAACUAAAGGCAUUUUUAGAAAACUGAAUAAAAUUAAAUCAUCAAAUAGCUGUUGAGAGAGGAGAGACCAAUUAGGAAUUCUGAUGCCCCAAAGGUAAAUUUGGCAAAUCCUAUCCAAGGUGUGGUAGCGUCUAUAGGUCAUAUUCCCACAUCCAGGUAGCUUGCAUGUUCAAAUUAGAAAGGACAACACACUCUUUCCUCCUUCCCCACAUGCAAAUAAAUCAAAGAUUUGUUUUCCCUACUUAAAGAACCUUAAACAUCUACAAUUAGCUCAAAAUGUCAACUUCAGGGGAAAAUUAUGAAAGGUUAUUCAACUGCUUUAUCUCAUCAGAAAAGAAAGGCUGCAAGUUAGAAGCUUUAACUCUGCAAUCAUAGUGAAACACAACAAAAUUUAAAUAUACAUACAGGUAUAUAAAUACAAAGACAUACACAUGCACAUGCACAAGCCCACACAUGUAUCUUCUCCAAGUAGAGAUCUAAGCAUUCAUUAGUACUUUAAUCGUGUACUGAAUAAGCCCUAUAGUAUUUUUAUGAAUUCUGACCACUACUGCAUCAACCUGAACCCAUACUUCAGUCCUGUGAAUAUGAAUAAACUCACAUCUGUUCUAAAUUCUUUUCAGAUUUUCACAACUGCUCAGCCACUUUGCUAAGAGACCUGUGGUUAUCAGUUACUGUGUAUAAAGAAACCAGAAAGAGCUAAAAUUGCACUAACAUUAUCUUGAGAUAAGCUUCUUCUCAUUCCAAGGAAAAAAAUACCCACAGCAAACAAAAUAGCACCAUUAUUACAGAACUAAGGGUUAGGUUACCCGACCCUGGACGUUUAAUAUAGCCGGUGUUUUUAAGUUCUGCCUGGUCUCAACACCUCUGCUUGGAAUUUGGUUUAAGCCUGAACUCCAAGUAAACAAUUUCACGUGUGCUGAAAGCACAACUCUGUGCUACUCCCAGAUUAAAUAAAGGUAGUGAAACCUCUCAUUAUCAUUAAGGUCAGACCUGUGAGAAAGAAAAAGGAGUAACCAAUCACUUCACCUUCGAAUACAGGCUAAGGUUAAAAUCUGGGCAGACCGUGGCAAGAACAGCAAUCUAGAGCGGACGCUGCCGGUGGAGAAUAUCUGCUUUAACCCAGAGACAAGAUGCCCAGCCCUGGAUCCUGUCCUUUCCCUCUGAGGAUGCCCGCGGGCCUGCCGUGGGUCAGGGACACAUUUCCUCUGCUCACUCCUGAGAGGAAAGGGGACACAGCUGAUUUUAAGACACUUGUCCAGCCACGCUUAAAACACAAACAAAAAAACAGACAGAACAAGCAAGUUAGCACCCUGGCGUGUGGAACUGCCCCCGCUGCGGACGCCCCCACUCUAACAUUAUCUUGAGAUAAGCUUCCUCUCAGCAGGAUGAUCAGCAGCGUGGCCACGAACAUGAGCAGGGUCAGCCCUGGUAAGGAAAACCCCCAUCUAUUACUUGGCGGCGCAUCAACCACUGAGACCCUCACCCCUCAGGGAAGGCCCGCACCAGCAUGAUACUAACGUAUCAGCUGGCCCAGCAAAUGAUCUAUUAGCUGGCGCAUCAGCGUAACACUAAACCUAUUACCUGGCCUAUCAACUAAACGAAUACCUGGUGCAUCAUCACAAUACUAACCAUUAGUCACCUGAUAUCCCACCCCCUGGACCACCCCAACUUAAUAAAAGUGUGAAAAACCGGGUAAGACGGGGCUCAAAAAUGGGGGGCGAGACCCCGCUGAGCCCGCCAGCGAAUAAACUUUGAUUAUCCGACUCUCUGUGUGCCGCUGGGUUAGU
Molecule: non-coding RNA, 3465 nt
Organism: Microcebus murinus (gray mouse lemur)
Lineage: Eukaryota; Metazoa; Chordata; Mammalia; Primates; Cheirogaleidae
Source: RefSeq, a predicted model, not a curated record